CAAGUUCCAACCCUGGAGGCACUGGUCAGGGUGGGGACAGUGCUACAGAGAGAAGACCAGAGAUGAUGCACCACGAGCACCGCAACAAGCCAAGGGCUUCCCAGGCCCGGCCCG
Molecule: non-coding RNA, 114 nt
Organism: Ceratotherium simum simum (southern white rhinoceros)
Lineage: Eukaryota; Metazoa; Chordata; Mammalia; Perissodactyla; Rhinocerotidae
Source: RefSeq, a predicted model, not a curated record